This 282-nucleotide unclassified non-coding RNA is filed under the name plant metagenome. Its description in RNAcentral is "partial contains small subunit ribosomal RNA, internal transcribed spacer 1, and 5.8S ribosomal RNA". The stretch from base 235 to 282 matches the Rfam family "5.8S ribosomal RNA", at positions 1 to 49 of the family's 154-position model. The record is from RNAcentral.
UUUCCGUAGGUGAACCUGCGGAAGGAUCAUUAUUGUAUAACCGAGGUGCGAGGGCUGUCGCUGACCCGAAAGGUCGUGCACGCCCGAGUGCCCUCACACACAUCCAUCUCACCCCUAUGUGCACCACCGAGUGGGUCCCCCUUUGGCUUGUUCGGAGGGGGGCUUACGUUUUCACACAAACUUUGUAUGCAGUGUAGAAUGUAUUUUUUGUUUUUGCGAUCACGCAAUCAAUACAACUUUCAACAACGGAUCUCUUGGCUCUCGCAUCGAGAAGAACGCAGC